AACGAACGCUGGCGGCAUGCCUAACACAUGCAAGUCGAACGAGACCUCCCGGCCUUGGUGCGCACGGCUGCGUAACGAGUGGGAACCUGCCCUUAGGUUCGGAACCACUCACUGAAGGGGAACUUCAUGCAGCUUAAUCUCAUCGCGCCUAAGAUCUCUCGCUUCAGGAUGGGGCCGGGUUGGAUUCGCCGGUUGGUAGGGGAAAAGCCUACCAAGGGGUCGUUGCAUGGCUGGUCUGAGAGGAUGAUAAUCCACACUGGAACUGCGACACGGCCCAGACUCCGACGGAGGGCAGCAGUGGGGAAUAUUGGACGAGGGGCGAAGGUCUGACCCAGCAAUGCGGGGGGAGUGAUGAAGGCCUUAGUAUUGUAAAGCUCUUUUAGCCGAGAUGAUAGUGACGGUACCGGGAGAAGAAGCACCGGCUAACUCCGUG
This 433-nucleotide ribosomal RNA is filed under the name uncultured bacterium. Its description in RNAcentral is "partial 16S ribosomal RNA". It matches the Rfam family "Bacterial small subunit ribosomal RNA", at positions 29 to 507 of the family's 1533-position model. The record is from RNAcentral.